This is a long non-coding RNA of Leopardus geoffroyi (Geoffroy's cat), 820 nucleotides long. RefSeq lists it as uncharacterized. The transcript has 2 exons. Lineage: Eukaryota; Metazoa; Chordata; Mammalia; Carnivora; Felidae. The record is from RefSeq and is a predicted model, not a curated record.
AGACCCAACUUAUAGGAAACAGGGCAAAACACCAGCCAUAAAUGCUGACAAAACAUCAAAAUUUUCAUCUUGCUUCCACAAAUUUUUAAAGUUUUUCUUCUUCAAGUGUUCAAUUUAUAUUCCUAACACUUCUUAUCCAAUUUUUCCCUCACACACAGCUAGGUAAAAACAUGUUUAAGGGCUAGAAUAUAGAUGGGAGGGUAGAAGAAGAAACAGAGCAAAGAAAAACCUGACUCCUAUUUCUCAAGUUAAAAUUGGAAUACAUUUUCAAGAGCCCUGGGCAGGACAGAGAAAAAUUCCAUUCUGCCUCUUUGCUCUUCCAAAUUCCUAUAGCCAAGUGGCUCAACAGCAGUUGAAUGGCACACAUAAUGACAUCAUUGAUUGGAACUAUAAUAGAAGAGAGUGAGAAGAGCGGGUGGUGGGGGGGAGUGGGAAGGGAGGGAGGUGAAGAUGUAUUUGUGUUACAGACAAAAGACAAGUUCUGUUCCUCAGCAGGGACAAAUGAAGAACCAGAUGAGGGGAUAAACUGAGGUAGUGGAAGGGAAUAUAGACAGAAUCAAAUAGGCCUUCCAGAAGAGACUGAAUGGAAACCAACCCACCAUCAUUUAGCCACAGUGAAAUCUGUAUGCUAGGAGACACUGAUGCUCUCCUGUGCCUGGAACUGAUUCUUUGUCCCAGCUGCUUCUCUGAUAGCUCAACAGAUUUCAGUGACAUCCUCAAAAAACAAGGAAAGUCCAGUAUCUCUCUCACUCUGAUGUGGUUCAUCCCCAAGCAAUGGUGAGCAAAAACAUGUAAUUACAUGAAAAGUUCAUGAAACUAA